Molecule: small RNA, 125 nt
Filed under: Marmota monax (woodchuck)
Lineage: Eukaryota; Metazoa; Chordata; Mammalia; Rodentia; Sciuridae
Source: RNAcentral
GCCAGGCAUGGUAGUGUAUCCCUGUAAUCCCAGAAGCUUGGGAGGCUGAGGCAGGAAGAUCACAAGUUGGAAACCAUCUUUAGCAAUGGCAAUGUGCUAAGCAACUCAGUAAGAUCCUGUCUCUA